Molecule: non-coding RNA, 72 nt
Organism: Stegodyphus mimosarum
Lineage: Eukaryota; Metazoa; Arthropoda; Arachnida; Araneae; Eresidae
Source: Rfam
GCCUUCGUGGUGUAGCGGUCAGCACGCUCGACGCGUAUCGAGAGGUAAGUGGUUCGAGUCCUGGCGAGGGCA